ACCAGUCCUCAAAUGCACUAACUAAUUAAAUAUUCCCUUAAACCAUUAGAUAUGUCGCAAACUACCAUUUAUAACACAAUUUUAUUCAUUCAAUCAUAAUUGCUACCAAUUGCUAAGGAAUUCAGAGUAGGUUUACAUUGACUCUACAUUAUGUAUCAAUAAUUUUCGCUCUAAUUGGUACCUCAAUAGUCCCAUGAGCAAUUUGAAUUGAUUAGUGAUCUGAUCGACACACAUGAGUUGGCACUCCAAUAUAAUCAAGAUGUAGUCUUAGACCAUCCUGUUAUCACAUCCAAUAAUCCUCUAGUUUAUAU
RNAcentral lists this long non-coding RNA (311 nucleotides) under Jatropha curcas. RNAcentral describes it as "long non-coding RNA (JCUR_LNC000009)". Lineage: Eukaryota; Viridiplantae; Streptophyta; Magnoliopsida; Malpighiales; Euphorbiaceae. The record is from RNAcentral.